Molecule: small nucleolar RNA, 123 nt
Filed under: Dasypus novemcinctus (nine-banded armadillo)
Lineage: Eukaryota; Metazoa; Chordata; Mammalia; Cingulata; Dasypodidae
Description: Small nucleolar RNA SNORA72 (ENSDNOG00000042225.1)
Rfam family: Small nucleolar RNA SNORA72
About the family: U72 is a member of the H/ACA class of snoRNAs. The snoRNA gene is located in intron 4 of the ribosomal L30 protein gene in human, mouse and chicken.
Source: RNAcentral
CUGUGAAGAUUCUCGUUGUCCUGAUUUGUGAUAUCAGGUAGGCUAAACAUCGCUAUAUAGAACAUGCUGUGUCCCCAGACUAGUUUCCUCCUAGGGCUGGUUUUUAGAAUGCUGAUGAUAAAC